AAGGAUUUAGGUUAAAUAAACCUUUAACCUUCAAAGUUAAAAAUAGAAAUAUUAAUUCUCUAAGCCUUA
RNAcentral lists this transfer RNA (69 nucleotides) under Altica oleracea. RNAcentral's name for it is "tRNA-Trp". Lineage: Eukaryota; Metazoa; Arthropoda; Insecta; Coleoptera; Chrysomelidae. The record is from RNAcentral.